Molecule: ribosomal RNA, 492 nt
Filed under: uncultured bacterium
Lineage: Bacteria
Description: partial 16S ribosomal RNA
Rfam family: Bacterial small subunit ribosomal RNA
Source: RNAcentral
AGUGAACGCUGGCGGUAGGCCUAACACAUGCAAGUCGAACGGCAGCACAGUAAUAGCUUGCUCUUACGGGUGGCGAGUGGCGUACGUGUGAGGAAUACAUCGGAAUCUACCUUUUCGUGGGGGAUAACGUAGGGAAACUUACGCUAAUACCGCAUACGACCUACGGGUGAAAGCAGGGGAUCUUCUGACCUUGCGCGAUUGAAUGAGCCGAUGUGGGAUUAGUUAGUUGGCGGGGUAAAUGCCCACCAAGGCGACGAUCCGUAGCUGGUCUGAGAGGAUGAUCAGCCACACUGGAACUGGGACACGGUCCAGACGACUACGGGAGGCAGCAGUGGGGAAUAUUGGACAAUGGGCGCAAGCAUGAUACAGCGAUACCGCGUGGGUGAAGAAGGCCUUCGGGUUGUAAAGACCUUUUGUUGGGAAAGAAAAGCAGCAGGUUAAUACCCCGCUGUUCUGACGGUACCCAAAGAAUAAGCACCGGCUAACUUCGUG